GGAUGGGUGGCCGAGCGGUUUAAGGCACCGGUCUUGAAAACCGGCGUGCGUGCAAGCGCACCGUGGGUUCGAAUCCCACCCCCUCCGCCA
RNAcentral lists this transfer RNA (90 nucleotides) under Reyranella sp. RNAcentral's name for it is "tRNA-Ser". It matches the Rfam family "tRNA". Rfam says of the family: Transfer RNA (tRNA) molecules are approximately 80 nucleotides in length. Their secondary structure includes four short double-helical elements and three loops (D, anti-codon, and T loops). The record is from RNAcentral. RNAcentral also lists the same sequence under 1 other name. Lineage: Bacteria; Pseudomonadati; Pseudomonadota; Alphaproteobacteria; Hyphomicrobiales; Reyranellaceae.